RNAcentral lists this ribosomal RNA (601 nucleotides) under Bacillus tequilensis. Its description in RNAcentral is "bacterial SSU rRNA". It matches the Rfam family "Bacterial small subunit ribosomal RNA", at positions 231 to 822 of the family's 1533-position model. The record is from RNAcentral. Lineage: Bacteria; Bacillati; Bacillota; Bacilli; Caryophanales; Bacillaceae.
CCGCGGCGCAUUAGCUAGUUGGUGAGGUAACGGCUCACCAAGGCAACGAUGCGUAGCCGACCUGAGAGGGUGAUCGGCCACACUGGGACUGAGACACGGCCCAGACUCCUACGGGAGGCAGCAGUAGGGAAUCUUCCGCAAUGGACGAAAGUCUGACGGAGCAACGCCGCGUGAGUGAUGAAGGUUUUCGGAUCGUAAAGCUCUGUUGUUAGGGAAGAACAAGUACCGUUCGAAUAGGGCGGUACCUUGACGGUACCUAACCAGAAAGCCACGGCUAACUACGUGCCAGCAGCCGCGGUAAUACGUAGGUGGCAAGCGUUGUCCGGAAUUAUUGGGCGUAAAGGGCUCGCAGGCGGUUUCUUAAGUCUGAUGUGAAAGCCCCCGGCUCAACCGGGGAGGGUCAUUGGAAACUGGGGAACUUGAGUGCAGAAGAGGAGAGUGGAAUUCCACGUGUAGCGGUGAAAUGCGUAGAGAUGUGGAGGAACACCAGUGGCGAAGGCGACUCUCUGGUCUGUAACUGACGCUGAGGAGCGAAAGCGUGAGGAGCGAACAGGAUUAGAUACCCUGGUAGUCCACGCCGUAAAACGAUGAGUGCUAAGUG